RNAcentral lists this ribosomal RNA (465 nucleotides) under Vreelandella stevensii. RNAcentral's name for it is "partial 16S ribosomal RNA". It matches the Rfam family "Bacterial small subunit ribosomal RNA", at positions 338 to 795 of the family's 1533-position model. Lineage: Bacteria; Pseudomonadati; Pseudomonadota; Gammaproteobacteria; Oceanospirillales; Halomonadaceae. The record is from RNAcentral.
CCUACGGGAGGCAGCAGUGGGGAAUAUUGGACAAUGGGGGCAACCCUGAUCCAGCCAUGCCGCGUGUGUGAAGAAGGCCCUCGGGUUGUAAAGCACUUUCAGUGAGGAAGAACGCCUGGUGGUUAAUACCCAUCAGGAAAGACAUCACUCACAGAAGAAGCACCGGCUAACUCCGUGCCAGCAGCCGCGGUAAUACGGAGGGUGCGAGCGUUAAUCGGAAUUACUGGGCGUAAAGCGCGCGUAGGUGGCUUGAUAAGCCGGUUGUGAAAGCCCCGGGCUCAACCUGGGAACGGCAUCCGGAACUGUCAAGCUAGAGUGCAGGAGAGGAAGGUAGAAUUCCCGGUGUAGCGGUGAAAUGCGUAGAGAUCGGGAGGAAUACCAGUGGCGAAGGCGGCCUUCUGGACUGACACUGACACUGAGGUGCGAAAGCGUGGGUAGCAAACAGGAUUAGAUACCUCAGUAGUC